AGUCGAGCGGAGAUGAGGUGCUUGCACCUUAUCUUAGCGGCGGACGGGUGAGUAAUGCUUAGGAAUCUGCCUAUUAGUGGGGGACAACAUUCCGAAAGGAAUGCUAAUACCGCAUACGUCCUACGGGAGAAAGCAGGGGAUCUUCGGACCUUGCGCUAAUAGAUGAGCCUAAGUCGGAUUAGCUAGCUGGUGGGGUAAAGGCCUACCAAGGCGACGAUCUGUAGCGGGUCUGAGAGGAUGAUCCGCCACACUGGGACUGAGACACGGCCCAGACUCCUACGGGAGGCAGCAGUGGGGAAUGUUGGACAAUGGGGGGAACCCUGAUCCAGCCAUGCCGCGUGUGUGAAGAAGGCCUUAUGGUUGUAAAGCACUUUAAGCGAGGAGGAGGCUACUGAGACUAAUACUCUUGGAUAGUGGACGUUACUCGCAGAAUAAGCACCGGCUAACUCUGUGCCAGCAGCCGCGGUAAUACAGAGGGUGCGAGCGUUAAUCGGAUUUACUGGGCGUAAAGCGUGCGUAGGCGGCUUUUUAAGUCGGAUGUGAAAUCCCCGAGCUUAACUUGGGAAUUGCAUUCGAUACUGGGAAGCUAGAGUAUGGGAGAGGAUGGUAGAAUUCCAGGUGUAGCGGUGAAAUGCGUAGAGAUCUGGAGGAAUACCGAUGGCGAAGGCAGCCAUCUGGCCUAAUACUGACGCUGAGGUACGAAA
RNAcentral lists this ribosomal RNA (704 nucleotides) under uncultured bacterium. RNAcentral describes it as "bacterial SSU rRNA". It matches the Rfam family "Bacterial small subunit ribosomal RNA", at positions 60 to 758 of the family's 1533-position model. The record is from RNAcentral.